UACAGAGGUCCCAAGCGUUGUUCGGAUUCAUUGGGCGUAAAGGGUGCGUAGGCGGCGCGGUAAGUCGGGUGUGAAAUCUCGGAGCUUAACUCCGAAACUGCAUUCGAUACUGCCGUGCUUGAGGACUGGAGAGGAGACUGGAAUUUACGGUGUAGCGGUGAAAUGCGUAGAUAUCGUAAGGAAGACCAGUGGCGAAGGCGGGUCGCCGGACAGUUCCUGACGCUGAGGCACGAAGGUCAGGGGAGCAAACGGG
Molecule: ribosomal RNA, 253 nt
Filed under: uncultured bacterium
Lineage: Bacteria
Description: partial 16S ribosomal RNA
Rfam family: Bacterial small subunit ribosomal RNA
Source: RNAcentral